This 86-nucleotide transfer RNA is filed under the name Leclercia adecarboxylata. Its description in RNAcentral is "tRNA-Val". It matches the Rfam family "tRNA". Rfam says of the family: Transfer RNA (tRNA) molecules are approximately 80 nucleotides in length. Their secondary structure includes four short double-helical elements and three loops (D, anti-codon, and T loops). Lineage: Bacteria; Pseudomonadati; Pseudomonadota; Gammaproteobacteria; Enterobacterales; Enterobacteriaceae. The record is from RNAcentral.
GCAUGGGUGGCGGAGAAGGCCGAACGCAGUCAGUUAACUCCUGUUCAGUCAGGUCAUCGCAGGUUCGAAUCCUGCCCCAUGCACUA